GCUCAUUGGUUUUUUAGUGUAAUGAGUCGGGCCUGCCCGGUGGAAAACUUUCUAAACGGUUAUUUAGUCGUACUAAGGUAGCGCAGUAGAUCGUCCUUUAAUUGAGGAAUAGUAUGAAUGGUUUGUCAUGGAGAAGCUGUCUUUGGGGCAUAUAAGAAGAAAUUUCCAUUUAAGUGAGAAGGCUUAAAUUUUUGUAAAAGAAGAGAAGACCCUAUCGAGCUUGAUUAAAAGUGGCAAAAGUAGAUUUGUUUAUUUUGAAGUUUUAUUGGGGCAAUAAGGGGCUAUAAUUAACGCCUCUUUGUGUUAUAAAGAUCCUAUUUGAUAGAAAAAAGCAAAAGCUACCGUAGGGAUAACAGCGCAAUCCUUUUUUUGAGACCGCAUUGGAAAAAGGGUUUACGACAUCGAUGUUGAAUUAAGAGUUUCUUAUGGUGCAGCCGCUAUAAGAGUGAGACUGUUCGUCUUGUGUUUUCUU
Molecule: ribosomal RNA, 472 nt
Filed under: Gafrarium tumidum
Lineage: Eukaryota; Metazoa; Mollusca; Bivalvia; Venerida; Veneridae
Description: partial large subunit ribosomal RNA
Rfam family: Bacterial large subunit ribosomal RNA
Source: RNAcentral